CUGUCUACUGUAUUAAUCUUUUACCAUACCCAUUAAACAGUAAAGUUAGUAACCACCUACGUCUUACACUACCACCACCACUUGCUMGCAGAUAACUACAUUCGUUUUACGUUGCGUAGAUAAUAUUUGUCAUAGGUAUUUUAACUUUUAGGUUGUACGUACUACGUAGUGCGUAGGUACUAUACCUAUGCUGAUUGCCAAGUGGCCAAUAGUUCAGUACUCAGCGGUGAUUGUGUCAGUGACGACCGAUGAUUGACGAACGACGUUGACGAAAUUAACAAUCCAUUGCGCAGCUCCGCGGACACCAAGCAUAAUAAACGUUCAUAAACAUAAUAUAUUUUUGUGCACAAUGUACAUAAUUUGAUACACACGCACAUUGGAAUACAAUAGAACAGAUAUUUACUUAUUCAAUAUUUAUUGCAUAAUCGUGUCGUGAUCUUUAUUAUCAUUCGUUUUUACUGCGACGCAGUCGAUUGUUUUCGUAUUAAUCUUUUGCGUUUCACCUGCCUACUAAAAAGAACAAUAAAUUCAGUUGGACACAAGUUAUAUCGGUUCGUGCAGUUCAAUACUACCAUCGCCGAUAUUCACUGGUUACGCGCAUAAAAACGCGAUCAUGGCGACCAGGAAGAAGGUUYUGCUGAAAGUGAUCAUAUUGGGAGAUUCGAGUGUGGGUAAGACCUCGCUAAUGAAUCAAUACGUCAACAAGA
Long non-coding RNA from Diuraphis noxia (Russian wheat aphid), 707 nucleotides. The record is from RefSeq and is a predicted model, not a curated record. Lineage: Eukaryota; Metazoa; Arthropoda; Insecta; Hemiptera; Aphididae.